RNAcentral lists this ribosomal RNA (253 nucleotides) under uncultured bacterium. RNAcentral describes it as "partial 16S ribosomal RNA". It matches the Rfam family "Bacterial small subunit ribosomal RNA", at positions 524 to 776 of the family's 1533-position model. The record is from RNAcentral.
UACGGAGGGUGCAAGCGUUAUCCGGAUUUACUGGGUUUAAAGGGUGCGUAGGUGGGUCUGUAAGUCAGUGGUGAAAUCUCCGAGCUUAACUCGGAAACUGCCAUUGAUACUAUAGGUCUUGAAUUAUCUGGAGGUAAGCGGAAUAUGUCAUGUAGCGGUGAAAUGCUUAGAUAUGACAUAGAACACCAAUUGCGAAGGCAGCUUACUACGGAUUGAUUGACACUGAGGCACGAAAGCGUGGGGAUCAAACAAG